Molecule: transfer RNA, 84 nt
Filed under: Mycolicibacterium alvei
Lineage: Bacteria; Bacillati; Actinomycetota; Actinomycetes; Mycobacteriales; Mycobacteriaceae
Description: tRNA-Phe
Source: RNAcentral
CGGCAACUUCGGUGGCAACAUUGCCGCCGCCCGGCUGAAGCUCGGUCAUCCCGCACAGCUGGUGGUGCGGGCCGCUGCUGCCGU